UAUAUAUAUAUAUAUAUAUAUAUAUAUAUAUAUAUAUAUAUAUAUAUUUUUUUUUUUUUUAAUGAGAAACUGCAUGUUUAAAGAGUAUAUGAAUAAAAAAAAGUCAACACUAUGUAUCAGUGUUUUCACUGUUUGGAUUUUUGCAUAUGUGUUUUCACUGUUUGGAUUUUUGCAUAUUGCACGGACGUGUGCGUCCGUGCGUGAGAACAUGCGCACAUGUCUGUGUGUUUGUGUGUCUGUGGUCUAUAGUCUAAAAUCUACAACCCCAGAGCAGAAAAAAGGUGGACGGGAUGUUGAAAUUGAAAUUAAAACUCAAAACAAUGAUUAGUAAAUAAUUUUGACCUGUAUUGCAUUUAAAGCAACACAACAGCACACUGUUUGAUGUUUUAUCUUAAGGCAAGAUCUGGAAGACCAAAAACAUUUCCAGAUGAAAUUAAACAUAUGCUGGGAAGAAACACAUCCUUUCGGCUAUUCCACCCCAUUAGGCCACAUCCCAUAGUGAAUAUUUAAAACAGCUGCUAAGACCUAUCCCACAUUCCUCCUGAAACCCUACUCACGCAGCCAUUGGAAACACACUGACACAGAGAAAACGUUUGGAAGAUGGAAGGAAAAGCAGCUUUGGCUACUGGUGUAUCCAGUGCACCAACAUACCUGGCUUGGUCCAUCUUUAACACAAUAUGCUGCUGUACUCCAAUUGGAAUCGUUGCAAUUGUGUUCUCCUGCCGGACGGACACAGCUAACCUUAUUGGUGAUACUACAAGAGCUAAUGCGCAUUCCAGGUUGGCCAAGAAAUUGAAUAUCACCGCACUGGUGACUGGCAUCAUUUUUCUCAUCAUUGUCAUCAUCUUUUAUGCUUUUUUGCUUCAACAGCCCUAAAUGCGCACUACAAAGCAGUGGAAACAAAUCACACUCUGUUAUGGACACAGAAGUGUGAAAGUAUUUGAAAAUACUCCCAAAUUUGGCUCAGAGCUGACUUGUUGUAUUUGCUUUUUGAUUUCACUAUAUUUUUAAAUGAAAAACUAUUGUAUUGUAUUACAUUGUAUUGACCACUGUUGCUUUAUUAUUUUUAUAUAAAUGCUUUGCUAUUCUUUUUAUAUGAAUGCAUCCUAAUUUCUAUAUAUGAAUGUAUGAUGUAAAGAUCCAAAUAAAAUGUGUGUGUGUGCGUGUGUGUGUGUGUGCGCGUGUGUUUUCCUUCACAGCAACUUUUCAUCCAAUAGUCUGAAGUCCAGGUCUAGUUUACUUUCCUGAGUUUCUGUUACUCAGUUUUUAAACAUAUUACUGUGUCUAGCUUACUAACUAUGGUCCUAAUAGCAAUUUUAUCUCAUUAAAUUAUCUGCUAUUUGGUCACAACACCACAUAUAUAGAGAGAAUGAUUCAAUAACAGUGGUGAUCAGUGACUGAGUGCUGGGAUCAUAGGUUUAAAAUAACACAACUCAGUCAGUCAUGACACAUUAGUGGUAAGUCAACUGAGCCUGUUAUCAUAACCUCUAUAUCCAGCAGCUGUGAUUUGAGCUGUUAAACCGUCUCGAGUGCUACUGACAUCUGCUUAAAAGGUUCCUAUGUUUGUUGCUAGGCUGUUUGGCUUUUAAAUAAAGUCACCAAAGGGAUCUUCAAAGUUCCUACUUUGUCAACACUAAA
Long non-coding RNA from Neoarius graeffei (lesser salmon catfish), 1638 nucleotides. RefSeq lists it as uncharacterized. The transcript is spliced from 2 exons. Lineage: Eukaryota; Metazoa; Chordata; Actinopteri; Siluriformes; Ariidae. The record is from RefSeq and is a predicted model, not a curated record.